RNAcentral lists this small RNA (106 nucleotides) under Marisediminitalea lipolytica. Its description in RNAcentral is "Alteromonas lipolytica t44 RNA". It matches the Rfam family "t44 RNA". From Rfam's summary of the family: This family consists of a number of bacterial RNA genes of between 135 and 170 bases in length. Lineage: Bacteria; Pseudomonadati; Pseudomonadota; Gammaproteobacteria; Alteromonadales; Alteromonadaceae. The record is from Rfam by way of RNAcentral.
ACAUUACUUAAAUUAAAACACACAUACACUGUGACUGCGUAUCGGGGUGUCUGCGUUGUUAACUUAACAACAGUGGAUCGAUACAAAGGGUGUAUGGAGGCCUAAC